AUAACCACCCGUUUCAACGUUUAGCUGACGUGGAAGCUGAUGCUGUAAUGGCAGUACCACUUGGCAUAUUGCAGCGUACACAUGGCAUAUUUCCAAACAUGCGGGAUAAAGACCUAUCGAGCUCUGUAAAAGUAUGACCACGAGAAGACCGUGCCUUUUACGUCCACGUUACAAGAUUUAUCGGACGAGAUUUCGGUCUCCAUCCACUGCUGUUUGUUACUGCGAGAACCAAUGUUGUGUAUCGACCAAGGCAAGACGAUCCCAGCCAGACCCAGUUUGGACCUGGUGUGGAAUGAUAUUAUAAAGACCCGAUUUUGUAAAAUGGGUGAAUCGGGUUUUGUGGGUCAAUGCCAAGUUUGGUUACGGGUUGAGAGUUUGAUACGAUUGGAUAUUCCAAUUCCAGUCACAGUGGAGAUACCAUAGUACUAGCACGAAUGAAUUUAUAUUUAAAGUCUCUGGCUCCAAAUCUGAACGCUCGGAGGUAUAGUGCUUUGACUGCUUGCAUAUAACUCAGGAUCUUAGUCACAAAUAUUGUGUCGCUUAGUAUGGAGACCAUCAAUUGCUGUGCGUUUCAAGUAUGUUCCUCCGGAGGUGACAACGGGGACCCAUUUUUACAUUUUUACCAAAAUCCUUUAUUCGCCAUGCUAAUUGAGCUAUUUGGGUAUUUCUUUCAAUGAAUGACACUGUGACUGAAGUUGGAUAUGGAGUUUUGAGAAUUAAAGCAAAUGAUUCAAUGUUCACAUCAAUUCCUUGAGGUGGUGGAGUUGAUUGUGUUUACUGUGCACCCAAUAACACUGUUGAGCUAGCCUUGCACUUGCUUGAUAUUGGUAUCUCACUCAAGUUGAUAAUCAUCGAUGCCCGCAAUCCAUUUUGUUUCGAGGAUGAAGAUGAGGAUUCAGCUAAAAGUUGUGCCAAGCAAGAGCAAAACUGAGAGCCAAUAUCUCCCCAGGGAUAUAAAUAUUGUGAUCCUCAAAUAUGAAAGUUUCCAUGAAGUUGUAGGUGAUGAUGUUUAUCUCUAUCCUCAAGUAUGAAAGUUUCCAUGAAGUUGUAGGUGAUGAUGUUUAUCUCUUUCGUUCUAUGCAUUUUAUAAAAGUAGAAAUAAGCCUUCUUGUUCAUCCACAAUAUAGAAAAGAGGAUGUAUGGGAAAUGUUGUAAAUGAUGGAUUUGGUAGUCAAGUGAAAACAAUGCUUGUAGAUAUAAACUAAUCUACCAUUGGCAAGACAAUGUGCACCUUUCCUAUUGUACUGGGAUGCUUUUUAUUCCUAAAGUUGCUAAUUUUAAAUGCUUUAAUAGUCUUGAAUGAGAAGUGCAUGAAAUUAUUUUAAAAUGUAACAUUUUAUUAAUUGUUUCUUCAUCUUCAUGUAAUAACCUGGACUUUGAAUCCCAUGUAAAUGUGUAUACAUAUAUAUACAUGUUAUAUUAUGAUUCAAAAAUUAAUCCUAGCGGACUAGCUGACUUAAAAACCAGCUGAGCAAUGACCUUUGUUGGAAAAAGUUGAUUGCUGAUGUGGGCUUGGAUACUUGAUAAAAGUGAAAAAUAGUCAGGGUAGAUAAGUUUAUGUGAGAGAAGCGACUGUUUUCUUAGUGCCAAAGAAAGGUGCUCUGUUUUUCUCUCUUUGAAGUAGACCUCAAGUUUCAAUCCUGGCCAUUGUAGAUGCUGGUUGUAAGCUUUGUAAUUUCUUCUACUUAAUGAAUCAAUCUUGUUCUUCUUUCUUUGCCUGUGGACAUAAAUCGUCACCUUGACGAUCAAACCACUUAAAAGCUUGUGUUUGUUCCUUGAUUUUCUCUUCUCUGAGUUUUCUAUGUGCUGCUGGUUUUUGUGUCCUUUUGCUGCAUAUUUAGUUGCUUAUGACAGAUUUCUAGUUACCCAUCACAACAAUACAUAAUUUCAAGAUCUAUUAAAGAAAAGGAGGAUCCCAAAAAUAAAAAAUAAAUAAAAAAAUUACUCUUCUUAUAAAGUAAGGAUUCGAAGCUACAAUAUUAAGCAAAAGAAAGGUAUUUGAAGCAAAAAUACAGAGCAAAAGGAAAGGCAAUCGUACAUACUGGUAAUGGGAACAAGGGCUCGUCCCCGCAACGAUCCUAUGCUGGAAAAGAAGGAGGAGGACCAUAUGAAUGAGUUAUCGGAUGAGAUUCUGGUUUCGAUUCUGUGCCGGUUGUCACUGGAUGAAGCAGCAAGAACGAUUGCGCUUUCCCGCAGAUGGAAAAGCCUCUGGACCAGCUCAAUCAUGGCGAGGCAUAGGUUGGAACUGGCAUGGAACAACACGUCCCUUAAAACAGAGCGGUGCAAGUUUGCAGAAUGGGUGGAAGGAGAGCUCAAAUUGCGGAGGUCAACAUCAUCAGCAACUUUGGACAUCUUGAGGGUUCAGUACGAUUUGAAUUCAUGAUGCUAUAAGAGCAUUGAUGCGUGGGUUUCAUUUUCUUGUGAAAAGGGGGUCAAAAGGCUGGAAAUGGAUUUGACGGGACGGGUCGUAGCAGAAAAGAACACAUAUACCCAUAUCAUUUUCCAGAGGUUGAAGAGAUUUCCGCCAUGGUUGAACCUCCUGGUUCACCAACCAAAUUCUUUUCACUGAAGGAGCUCUGUCUGAUGCAUGUCAAUGUCAGUGGAGAGGUUAUUGAGCUCUUCCUUCCAACUCCCCGUUUCUUGAACGUGUUUUUGUGGAGAGAGCAAAGAGUCUCGUCAGUUUGAAGGUUGCAACUGGCAGUUACAUCAUCAUCAUCUGUGAAUCUCAAGUAUUUGGGAAUAUGCUUCUGGAAUGCUAUGAAGUUCCUCAACAUCUCUGUGUCGUUUAGACAUGAUGGACCUAUGAUUGAAGUGCCUUUUGAGAAUGUGCCUAUUCUCUCGGAGGUGUCUUCGGGGCACAGUUACCCCUGUUCCAUAAUAACUAUCCAGAUAUUUGGGUAUUUCUCUCAGUUGGAUAUGGAGUUUGGGACAUUUCCCGAGUUGAGUAACCUUGAGCAGUUGGAAAUGGUGAUAUCAACACACCAUGAGAGGUCUCCUUUGGAACUGUGCUCUGGUAAAGGCAGCUGCUUUCUUGCAUAGCUUUGCAAUAAAGAUGAUUUCCAAGGGGGUGGAUCAUGGAAGAUAUCGAUGAAGAUUCCGAUGAAGAGGGUUGUGGAGGUUAUCAUAUACUGAAGAAGGAGAGACGAUAACUGAAGAUAAAAUGCAGGAAUUAAAGGAAGUUAUUAGAUGUUCACAUCAAUUCCUCGAAGAGGUAUAGUUGAUUGGGUUUACUGGGAAUCCAAAUGUAGUUGAGCUAGCCUUGCACUUGCUUGAGAUUGCUAUCUCACUGAAGGAGAAAACCAUCCAUGCCCGCAUUCCAUUUUGUUUUGAGUAGACCGAGGACGAGAAGGCUAUAAAUUGUGCGAAGCAACUAAGUGCCCGUAUAUCCCCAUGGAUAAAUGUUUGUGAACUUCAGUUUGGAAGUUUCCAUGAAGUUGUGUAGUUUGCUAACAGGCGUAGGUGAUUUAUUUUCUUUUUUGUGCCAUACAUGUAAAAAGGGCCUUAUUUUGUUCAUCCAAUGUAUAGAAAAAGGAUGUUGGAUGAAAUGUUGUAAAUGACGAAUUUGGUAAUUAUUUUUGAAAGCAUAUUAUGGGGUUCCUUGACCUUAUAUUGAGAUGCAUUUUUGUUCCAAAAAUUUUCAUCAACAUGAACUUAAUGCUUUUUUUUUAAGUGUUUCAUUAGUUGAAUGGUAAGUGCCUGAAACUAUUUUAAAAAAUGAACAUU
This is a long non-coding RNA of Ziziphus jujuba (common jujube), 3723 nucleotides long. RefSeq lists it as uncharacterized. Lineage: Eukaryota; Viridiplantae; Streptophyta; Magnoliopsida; Rosales; Rhamnaceae. The transcript is spliced from 6 exons. The record is from RefSeq and is a predicted model, not a curated record.